AACGAACGCUGGCGGCAUGCCUAACACAUGCAAGUCGAACGAGACCUUCGGGUCUAGUGGCGCACGGGUGCGUAACGCGUGGGAAUCUGCCCUUGGGUUCGGAAUAACAGCGAGAAAUUGCUGCUAAUACCGGAUGAUGACGUAAGUCCAAAGAUUUAUCGCCCAAGGAUGAGCCCGCGUAGGAUUAGCUAGUUGGUGAGGUAAAGGCUCACCAAGGCGACGAUCCUUAGCUGGUCUGAGAGGAUGAUCAGCCACACUGGGACUGAGACACGGCCCAGACUCCUACGGGAGGCAGCAGUGGGGAAUAUUGGACAAUGGGCGAAAGCCUGAUCCAGCAAUGCCGCGUGAGUGAUGAAGGCCUUAGGGUUGUAAAGCUCUUUUACCCGGGGAUGAUAAUGACAGUACCUGGAGAAUAAGCUCCGGCUAACUCCGUGCCAGCAGCCGCGGUAAU
RNAcentral lists this ribosomal RNA (451 nucleotides) under uncultured bacterium. RNAcentral's name for it is "bacterial SSU rRNA". It matches the Rfam family "Bacterial small subunit ribosomal RNA", at positions 29 to 524 of the family's 1533-position model. The record is from RNAcentral.